CUCCAUGAGUCCCUCCGGAAUUCUGGUAAAAUUGGAACGAUACAGAGACGAUUAGCAUGACUCCAAUAUGCACAAAUCGAGAAAUGGUCCAAAAUUUA
Non-coding RNA from Daucus carota subsp. sativus, 98 nucleotides. Lineage: Eukaryota; Viridiplantae; Streptophyta; Magnoliopsida; Apiales; Apiaceae. The record is from Rfam.